RNAcentral lists this non-coding RNA (23 nucleotides) under Arabidopsis thaliana (thale cress). The record is from RNAcentral. Lineage: Eukaryota; Viridiplantae; Streptophyta; Magnoliopsida; Brassicales; Brassicaceae.
GUACAUAGUGAUUGUGUUUGCCU